RNAcentral lists this ribosomal RNA (789 nucleotides) under uncultured bacterium. Its description in RNAcentral is "bacterial SSU rRNA". It matches the Rfam family "Bacterial small subunit ribosomal RNA", at positions 8 to 796 of the family's 1533-position model. The record is from RNAcentral.
AGAGUUUGAUCAUGGCUCAGAUUGAACGCUGGCGGCAUGCCUUACACAUGCAAGUCGAACGCGAAAGGGGGCAACCCCGAGUAGAGUGGCGAACGGGUGAGCAAUACAUCGGAACGUGUCCUGUAGCGGGGGACAACCUCGAGAAAUCGAGGCUAAUACCGCAUACGAUCUACGGAUGAAAAGUGGGGGACCGCAAGGCCCCACACUAUAGGAGCGGCCGAUGCCGGAUUAGCUAGUUGGUGGGGUAACGGCCUACCAAGGCGACGAUCCGUAGCUGGUUUGAGAGAACGACCAGCCACACUGGGACUGAGACACGGCCCAGACUCCUACGGGAGGCAGCAGUGGGGAAUUUUGGACAAUGGGCGAAAGCCUGAUCCAGCCAUGCCGCGUGAGUGAAGAAGGCCUUCGGGUUGUAAAGCUCUUUCGGCGGGGACGAAAUUGCGCGGGGUAACAUCCCGCGUAGAUGACGGUACCCGAAGAAGAAGGACCGGCUAACUACGUGCCAGCAGCCGCGGUAAUACGUAGGGUCCAAGCGUUAAUCGGAAUUACUGGGCGUAAAGCGUGCGUAGGCGGUCUCGCAAGUCCGAUGUGAAAUCCCCGAGCUUAACUUGGGAACUGCGUUGGAAACUAUGAGGCUAGAGUGCGGCAGAGGGGGGUGGAAUUCCAGGUAGCAGUGAAAUGCGUAGAGAUCUGGAGGAACACCGAUGGCGAAGGCAGCCCCCUGGGUUAGCACUGACGCUGAUACACGAAAGCGUGGGGAGCAAACAGGAUUAGAUACCCUAGUAGUCC